GAGAGAGAGAGAGAGAGAGAGAGAGAGAGCCGGCACAUCUCCCCUCCCCUCUCCCGUCCUCCCCUGCGCCGGUCGCCUCUGCCCCGACCUGCUGUGCUGCCGCUGCUGUCCCCCCCCCCCCCCCCUCGCCGCUGCGCAGGCGCACCAACCCGCCGAUCGAUCAUGCUCGCCUAGUCUUGUGACCGACAACCCCCUCUCCCUCCCUCCGCGGUUGGCUCUCGCCUGCCUGCCCCCUUCCCCGAUCCGCCUCCGCUGCCUCUCUCUCUCUCUCUAUAUAUAUAUAUACCCGCCUCGGCACCUCCGACUCCGCCCCCGAACCUUCCAGAACCCUCAUCCUCCCGAGACCCUCAACCGACGAGCGCCUGCCUCGCUCCCUCCUCCCGCACCUGAUCGAUUCCGAUGGCCGUAGUCGAGACAUCCGCCGACCACGCCUCACCCCGCACGGAGGAGCAGGGCUCUGGCUCCGACGCCGGGCAGCGCGAGAUGCGGGAUCUGGAGGAGCUCCUCUCCAAGCUCAACCCCAUGGCCGAGGAGUUCGUCCCGCCAUCCCUCGCCUCCCCCGUAGCCGCCGGGGCCGGGGCCACCCCCGCGCCGCUCUCCCCCGCCGCGUACGGGUACUACCCCGCCAACGGCGGAUUCGCGGCCUCCUCGCCGGGGCACAGUGGGGUCGUCGGGUUCCCCACCGGCGACGGGCCCGCCGGCCGCGGCAGGAAGAAGGGGGGAGCAGGGUUCGGCCACGGGCACCCCGGCAGGCGGCGGACCAACAGCCGCACCACCAUGGCGCAGCGCGACGAGGUGAUCCGCCGCACCGUCUACGUCUCCGACAUCGACCACCAGGUCACUGAAGAGAACCUGGCAGCUCUAUUUAUCAACUGUGGGCAGGUUGUGGAUUGUCGCAUGUGUGGGGACCCAAAUUCAGUUCUUCGUUUUGCUUUCAUAGAGUUCACUGAUGAGGAGGGUGCAAGAGCUGCUCUAAAUCUGUCAGGAACGGUGCUUGGAUAUUAUCCUGUCAGGGUUCUGCCAUCGAAAACUGCCAUCGCACCAGUCAACCCAACAUUCCUGCCCAGGUCUGAUGAUGAACGUGAAAUGUGUGCAAGGACUAUUUACUGCACAAACAUUGACAAGAAGGUCACUCAGGCAGAUCUGAAAUUGUUCUUUGCGUCAAUCUGUGGAGAGCAGAUUGUUUGUUGGCUCAUUGCAAUGCCUGCUACAGGUCUUUCGGCUGAGGUUGCUUGGUGACUACCAUCAUUCUACUCGCAUAGCCUUUGUGGAGUUUGUGAUGGCCGAAAGUGCUACUGCUGCUCUCAACUGCAGUGGUGUGAUACUGGGAUCCUUGCCAAUAAGGGUGAGCCCCUCAAAGACUCCUGUGCGUCCCCGUGCGCCUCGCCAGUUGAUGCACUAGAUGCUGUAGGUACAGGAGGUGCUGAUGGCACUGCUUAUAUAUAAUAGAGAUAGACAUAUAUGAAAGGGAAAUCGAGAUAUAUGCCUUCUUUUUUAGUUAUGGGCUCGACCUUUUUUACUGUACCAUCAGUAAGUAUCUAUGCUCCGGAGAGGGGACACCGGGAUCAGGUUGGGUCUUUUUACCUUGCACAUAGAGCUUCUUAGAAUGAAGCGGUCUGACGCUUAUGUCCUUGGUGCAACAAGGCAAAACUCCUGGACUUUUGUCUCUGUUCAGUUGUUUGCUGUGUCUUGGUUGCUACUCAAAACAUGGGAAUUACUUGGAAAUGACGAACGCUUACCGUUAUGCCCUA
Phragmites australis (common reed) is the source of this 1751-nucleotide RNA transcript. It is a transcript of the gene named polyadenylate-binding protein-interacting protein 11-like, with no coding region annotated. NCBI's taxonomy places the organism in Eukaryota, Viridiplantae, Streptophyta, Magnoliopsida, Poales, Poaceae. The transcript is spliced from 10 exons. The record is from RefSeq and is a predicted model, not a curated record.